This 431-nucleotide ribosomal RNA is filed under the name uncultured bacterium. Its description in RNAcentral is "partial 16S ribosomal RNA". It matches the Rfam family "Bacterial small subunit ribosomal RNA", at positions 29 to 507 of the family's 1533-position model. The record is from RNAcentral.
AGCGAACGCUGGCGGCAGGCUUAACACAUGCAAGUCGAGCGCCCCGCAAGGGGAGCGGCAGACGGGAGAGUAACACGUGGGAACAUACCUUUUGGUUCGGAACAACUGAGGGAAACUUCAGCUAAUACCGGAUAAGCCCUUACGGGGAAAGAUUUAUCGCCGAAAGAUUGGCCCGCGUCUGAUUAGCUAGUUGGUGAGGUAACGGCUCACCAAGGCGACGAUCAGUAGCUGGUCUGAGAGGAUGAUCAGCCUCACUGGGACUGAGACACGGCCCAGACUCCUACGGGAGGCAGCAGUGGGGAAUAUUGGACAAUGGGGGCAACCCUGAUCCAGCCAUGCCGCGUGAGUGAUGAAGGCCUUAGGGUUGUAAAGCUCUUUUGCCCGGGAAGAUAAUGACGGUACCGGGAGAACAAGCCCCGGCUAACUUCGUG